AAGCGAGACAGUGAUGUGGAGCGGACCCCUUAAAGAAUGUCGUAGUCCGGAUUGGAGUCUGCAACUCGACUCCAUGAAGUCGGAAUCGCUAGUAAUCGCAGGUCAGAAUACUGCGGUGAAUACGUUCCCGGGCCUUGUACACACCGCCCGUCACACCAUGGGAGUGGGAUGCAAAAGAAGUAGUUAGUCUAACCUUCGGGAGGACGAUUACCACUUUGUGUUUCAUGACUGGGGUGAAGUCGUAACAAGGUAACCCUAAGGGAACCUGGGGUUGGAUCACCUCCUU
This 286-nucleotide ribosomal RNA is filed under the name uncultured Alteromonas sp. RNAcentral describes it as "partial 16S ribosomal RNA". It matches the Rfam family "Bacterial small subunit ribosomal RNA", at positions 1247 to 1532 of the family's 1533-position model. The record is from RNAcentral. Lineage: Bacteria; Pseudomonadati; Pseudomonadota; Gammaproteobacteria; Alteromonadales; Alteromonadaceae.